UUGAAUCAACACCAAUAGGGUAGUGCAGACUCUAAAUGAGACCUUAUGUGGAAGCAUAUAGAAGAGUAAGACCUCUACGGUUAAAAGAGUUGUUGUGGUUGGCUUGUCAUGGUAAACUGUUGACUAACUUGGAAAUUAAGAUGCAAAUGAAAAAUUUUCGAUGAUCCUUUUUGUAGUGUAUUUGGGGGAGAUGUUGGGGCAGUCACUCAUGUGCUGAGAGAUUGCCAUCUAGCAUCCAACCGUUGGAAUAAAGUUGUUCCAAUUUCCUGAAGAGACGAUUUCUUUAGGAUGCCAAUUCAAGGUUGGUAAUUAAACAAUCUUUCAAAUAGAAAACAAGUUGAUCAUGCUGGGCGGGAUUGGGACAUUCUUUUUGUGUUGGCAAUUAUGGUCUCAGAGGAAUAAUUUCAUAUUCCGUAAUGAUAAUGGCUCUAGUAACUCAGUUAUAUCUAAGAGUUCAGCUUUUGUUAACUAUGGCUAUGGAGAGUAACUUUGGGUGCGAUAUGGUUAUGCUUUAGGUUCCUGGAUGGUUCAAACCUCAGGUCGGAUGGGUGAAGCUUAACAGAGAUAGGGCGUUUAACCUUAGAACGAAAGAAAUUGGAGUUGGAGGACUCAUCAGAGAUUGCAGGGGCGACUGGGUUGUCGGUGUAAAUGCCCAAAUUUUCCCGGGCCCAUUAUAAUAAUAAAAAAAUAAAUAAAGUCCAAGACAAAGAAACAGUCCAAUUACAAGAGCGACCCAAAUGCAAAGUAUGCUUGGCCCAAGUCAUUACCCAAUUUUACAAACCCAAUCCCUAGCCUAAAUUUAUUAGAAAAAGAAGAAACCCUAGGGUUCCUAUACCAGCAUCUCGCGCCGCUCCUCCAUGUGCUGGCCUCAGCGCGCACAACGCUCGAGACAUGAGCCCCGUCCCAUCGCCCGUACUACCAGCUCCGACUCUACCUGCAAAAUGGAAAAGAAACACGCAAAGCAGAAAAAGAGCAACAGACGCAAACAGUAGCAGAGACAAAGAAAAACAAUAUUUUUCUAAUGUUGCAAUCGGUUAUAAAGCCGAAAAGAAAUCAUUUGUAAUGGGGGGUUUUAAUACAAAAAAGGUUGUAUUACACGAGAUAUCGGAGAAAUCAAAAGCAAAAAUAAGAAAAAGGUUGUUUUUGGAUUCUAUUCUUUUUUCUUAUUUUUGGUUUCAAAUCCAUUUUAAAACAAAAAAUAAAAAGGAAGAGGGAGAGGCUUACCGGAUUCUCUGCGAUCACGACGCCGGAGGGUCCCUCCUCCAUCAUUGAAAUCAAACUCAAAGAGGGGUUGAGGGCCAUCUCUUUUCGGUUCUUCCUGUUUUGAAGGCUUGGCCUUCAAAAGGUAUUAAAAAAGGGUUAAAACCAUUUUUGUUCGAUUCCGACCACCGCUUAAGACGGAGACAUGGUGGCUAACACGGUGGUCCCUAAUCGGACCAGGGAACGUGAGAAAGAGAGAGAGAGAGGAGAGUUAUCAGCUUUUUUUGAAAAGAGAAGGGAGCAGAAGUGAUUUUUUCUCAAAAAUUUGGCUUUUAUAGCCUUACAAAACGGCACCGUUUCAAGGUGUCCUGAAGAGCCCCACAACGACGUCGUUUUGGGGCGACCCGCAGACUCGACCCGGAUUCUCCUGGGAUCCGCGCGUUUUGUAGGGGAGGGGAUAUUUCACGAGAGGUCUCUCUACCUUUAUAGUGCGCUACAAUUUGGUCCUUUAUGUACUUUAUUUUUUUUUGUAAAUUCGGCCACGUAUUUUGCUUGCCAUUCAAUUUAGUCCUUGGCAUGCUGAACUCUCGGGGAAAGGACGCAAGUCUGAAUAUUGGGCUAUUUGUCGAAUAGGUCCCUGUUAGCUUAAGCAUGUUUCGUUUUGACCUUCGCAGCUUCUUUAUUUAUUUACAAUUUGCACCUUAAUUUUUAAUUCAAUUUCAGCCUAGUCCUAAUCUAUUUAAUUUAUUUAUUAUUUUAGUUUUUUAGGAAAUUAUUUUAUUAUUUAUUUAUUUUAAG
This 1998-nucleotide long non-coding RNA is filed under the name Gossypium barbadense (sea-island cotton). RNAcentral describes it as "long non-coding RNA (GBAR_LNC003937)". Lineage: Eukaryota; Viridiplantae; Streptophyta; Magnoliopsida; Malvales; Malvaceae. The record is from RNAcentral.